Molecule: unclassified non-coding RNA, 330 nt
Filed under: soil metagenome
Description: partial contains 5.8S ribosomal RNA, internal transcribed spacer 2, and large subunit ribosomal RNA
Rfam family: 5.8S ribosomal RNA (bases 6-121)
Source: RNAcentral
GAUGAAAGAACGCAGUGAAAUGCGAUAAGUAGUGUGAAUUGCAGAAUUCAGUGAAUCAUCGAAUCUUUGAACGCACAUUGCGCCCCUUGGUAUCCCGAGGGGCAUGCCUGUUCGAGCGUCAUUUCACCACUCAAGCCUGGCUUGGUGUUGGGCGACGUCCCCUUUGGGGACGCGCCUCGAAACGCUCGGCGGCGUGGCACCGGCUUUAAGCGUAGCAGAAUCUUUCGCUUUGGAAGUCGGGGCCCCGUCUGCCGGAAGACCUACUCGCAAGGUUGACCUCGGAUCAGGCAGGGAUACCCGCUGAACUUAAGCAUAUCAAUAAGCGGAGGA